UUAAAACUUUCCUAUAGAACAACUAUAAACUGUAUGCACAGUUUUCCCAAAAUAGGCCAAUUUGGUCAACUUUAUUUAGUUAACACCCUGUAAUAAAUAAACGUAUAACGAUCAAUUCUAUAUCUCGGAUUUUCUAGAACACUACUGAGUUUGUUUCUUUUUAAAAAUACUUAGUUAAUACGAGUUUAUUCAGCUUGUGUAAGCAAAUAGUAAUUUAUGGGCAUUUUUAUCACUUUUAUUUUCGAAUGGACACUAUUUUGUUAAUAAGUUUAGUUUAACAAGUGAUAUCGAAGUGCCGUUUUCACCAGUUUCUUUGGUUUUCUUCCCCGCUUUUAAUGACGUAAAAAAAUAUAUAUAGUUGCAUUUGAGUUUUUUGAAAUAAUCCGUCAGAAAGGGUUAGUCACAAGUCAACGCCCUCUAGCGGAUUUUAGGAAAAGUAAUUUGAAUUUUUUUUUUGGUUGAAAAAAUAAGGCAACAAUAGACUGAAAAAAAAAUAUGUUUAAAAAAAAUCGGUCCAGUCACAGCUGAUUUUCAGCUGUUUUCUUUAUUCAAGCUAAAAACGCCCCCCACCACUUUAUUUGGCAACUGACAGAAAUUUUUGUAGAAACUUUUUUGUGAGGAAAUCUUCCUAGAAUAUUAAUAUAAUAUUUUGAGGUGUACGUUAUUGGAGGUUUUUUGGCAAAAAUGCAAUUUUAAGAUUUAAAGAAGCUGUCGCGCCCUCUAGCGGUUGACCAAUGAACUUCAAAAUAAUUUCCAGCAUUUUUUUUUGGCCACUUUUACUAAAAAAUUUUUUUUUCAAGGCGCUACGACUAUUAGGGCCUGAGAUAUCGCCGAUGUCCAUUCUUAGUUGGCCACCCGGUACAUCAUUCAAGAAACAUCAAGAUGCAUAUCGGAAAGCAAGGGAGGAAUAUAAACAGGAUAGUGCUGCGAAAGAUGGUUUAUACUUUUCAGCUGACCUCCAGAAGGUUAUUAUGCUUCCUAGAUGCGAAAUGUUUAAAGAAAUGAUGAUGCCGAGAGUUAUUGCAUUCAACGAAACAUUUGUGCCAAUAGGGAAAUCUCAGGAAAAACCGUUUGCCUUUAUUUGGCAUGAAGGUGUAUCGGGAAGAUCCAGAGACGACAUUAUUUCAACUUUUUAUAAUUUUUUAUUAGCCGUGAGAAAAACUGGUGAUUAUUUUCUUUUUUAACAUAUAUAAUUAAUUCGAACGAAAUCAACCUAAAAACUUUGAAUUUAAAAUAUUUUCAGCCUGGGCAAACUUUUAUGUCUAGUGAUGCUUUUCAUCAUCAAGUUGAAUUAGCCUUAAAAAGAAAAAAAAAGUGUAUGAUUUCAAAGAUUUCAGCGAAUGUGUUACUUUAGCCAAUUCAAAAAAGGUAGUUGUCAAAGAAAUGAAUAUAAACAAUUUUUAUACUUUUUCGGAUUUAACCUCCCAAUAUAUACUAAAGAAAAUUAUCCCCAGACCCUAUUUACAAGAUAUGGUUUUUGUUCAGUUUGAAAGGGGAAAAAGAUCUUUGAAUUAUAAAACAUCUUUUUCAGAAGAUUUUCAGUCCUUGAAUUACCUAUUAGCCAAAUAUGAAACAGGGCUCUUACCUCACCCUAAUCAAAAAAUUUGUGAGAGGGGUAUAUCCAAAGAAAGAAAAAGUAACAUUUUAACUAAAAUUCAAGGGUUGAUUCCAGAAAAUCGUUUACCAUUCUGGGAAAACCUCGUAGAAGCUGAAACAAAAGUAGCUCUAGAUUGACUCAAAUUAACGAAAAUACUAUGUUUUAAAGAAUAAUAUUUUUUUGUAAUAAAAUAUGUUAUUUCUAAAGGCUUAAUAAAAUAUUUUGACAGA
This is a long non-coding RNA of Anthonomus grandis grandis, 1827 nucleotides long. RefSeq lists it as uncharacterized. The transcript is spliced from 2 exons. The record is from RefSeq and is a predicted model, not a curated record. NCBI's taxonomy places the organism in Eukaryota, Metazoa, Arthropoda, Insecta, Coleoptera, Curculionidae.